GACGAACCGAGCGAACGUUAUUCGGAAUCACUGGGCUUAAAGGGCGCGUAGGCGGGCGGCCAAGUCAGGGGUGAAAGCCUCCAGCUCAACUGGAGAAGUGCCUCUGAUACUGGCCAUCUUGAGGGAGGUAGGGGCGUGCGGAACUUCCGGUGGAGCGGUGAAAUGCGUAGAUAUCGGAAGGAACACCGGUGGCGAAAGCGGCGCGCUGGACCUCUUCUGACGCUGAGGCGCGAAAGCCAGGGGAGCAAACGGG
This 253-nucleotide ribosomal RNA is filed under the name uncultured bacterium. RNAcentral's name for it is "partial 16S ribosomal RNA". It matches the Rfam family "Bacterial small subunit ribosomal RNA", at positions 524 to 776 of the family's 1533-position model. The record is from RNAcentral.